This is a long non-coding RNA of Anguilla rostrata (American eel), 232 nucleotides long. RefSeq lists it as uncharacterized. Lineage: Eukaryota; Metazoa; Chordata; Actinopteri; Anguilliformes; Anguillidae. The transcript has 2 exons. The record is from RefSeq and is a predicted model, not a curated record.
CAUGCCGCGCAGCACGUUGGACAGGGCGCCCUUGAAGAACGCUUUGCCGCCUUCCUCCCGCGCUAUCUUCCGCCAGCAGUCCAGCGUGCCGGAGUACAUGAUGUCCGCUGUGUGGAGAGAGAGAGGCCCCAAAUCAGAACCACCCUUGCAGCGUCACCUGAAAAGCGACUUUGGGCCUCUUCCCAAACUGGCGGCCCCCCUCCAGCACGGCGAGCUCCAGCUGGGUGCACAG